GUAAUAUAUGAAACAUAUAUUUAUUUAAUUUUUAAUUUUGAAAAGUAUGACAAAUCAGGAAAACCUUUAGAGAUAAAGAUCGUUUUAGAUCUAAUUGAUGCAUUCAUGAUCUAUUGAAUGUGGUAAAUCUUUUUUUUCAAUUUUAGAUAUAACAUAAUUUAAUUAACAUAAACUACAUAUUUUUUUUAUUCAAGUAACUCGUAUUACGGUGUAUGUGCUCAAAGUGACGUGAAAAUGAUGUGUGUAUGUGCCCAACGUAUACAAAAUUUUACAUGCCAUCUUGCAUGCUUAAUAUACAUGACAUAUUUUAGGUCGCUACAAAGUUCACGUGGUCUCAAUUAAUGUGUUAAUUAAUGAUAUUUUUUAUAUAUUAACGUAACUUUUAAUAACCGAAUAGUUGUUGUAUACAUAUUGAUAUUGAUGUUUUAUUUAUAUAUAACAUACUAAGGCCUUGUUUAGUUUGCAAAAUUUUUUGGCUUCGGAUACUGUAGUACUUUCGUUUGUUUGUGGCAAAUAUUGUCCAAUCAUAGACUAACUAGGGUCAAAAGAUUCUUCUCGCGAUUUACAGAUAAACUGUGUAAUUAGUUUUUAUUUUAUCUAUAUUUAAUAUUUUAUGCAUGUGUUAUAAGAUUCGAUGUGACGGGGAAUCUUGAAAAAUUUUGGUAGUUUUUAGGAACUAAACAAGGCCUAAAAGAAAGAAGUGCAAUCAACGGCCAUGCGGCCGGCCGCCGAUUCUAUCUGUCCCAUGCAUGAGGGGAUCUGAAGAUGUUUUCUUUUUCUUUUUUCUUUCUAAGAUCAAUUAAUUGAUUUUAAAAAUCUAAAAAUUAACGGCUCAAAUUUAUUUGAAAUAUUACCUCCUUAGAGGUAAAGGGUGUACCUUAGCAUUGCCCAAAUAAAUAUUACUAACAAAAGUGUCUGUGCGUUGCAACGGGUGAAAAGGUAUGUAUGGCUAUUGUUCUCGUCUCUCCUACUCCAAACCAAUCAAUUGAAUUUGCCUCCAACACAUCUAUGUCAUUCCUAAUAUGACUCAAAAUCAAUGACGAUGUGUAUCCGUACGCCUGGGAUGUAGGGCUGUGGAUGCUGAUGAGGCUAUGCACAAUCGAGUCUGUUUGGUACUCGAUGAUGGAGUUUAAUUGUAAGCAGCUUUGUGGAUGUCCAAACAAAACAAAACGAAGUUGUUUAAUUGCUAAUAAUGCUAAUUUGAUCAUAUACGGUUUAG
RNAcentral lists this long non-coding RNA (1219 nucleotides) under Sorghum bicolor (sorghum). Its description in RNAcentral is "long non-coding RNA (SBIC_LNC000497)". The record is from RNAcentral. Lineage: Eukaryota; Viridiplantae; Streptophyta; Magnoliopsida; Poales; Poaceae.